GCCACAAGUGUGCCAGCACUGGCUUCCUAAACGGGCGGCACACUUCCUGCCGAUGUGCCCCUGGGCGGCGUCUGACCCCACACACACGAGCACACGAGACGUGGCACACUUAAGCACCUGAUGGGGCAAUGAAUCAUACGUGAACAUUCAUAAACGUCAGUGAACGACUUAAAGAUGGUCCCGGCCUGCAUUUUAUUACAACUACGUCUGGAUAUGUGAUCUGUGCUGCAUUGGGAGCUUUUGCGAUGUAUUCUCGGGUGACUUUAUGGUAAGACAGGGUGUUUCCAGCCAAAGGUUUUACCGUGAACUCCUGGGCGCCAGAAGCAAAUGCAAACAAUCUUGUUGUUCAGUUUUAUCGUGUUGCGACAAACUAAGUGACGAUUUGUAUCUCGCAUGAAAUGAAAAGAAACUCUCAGUAGACAUACUGCUGUUCAAGUCGACAGUACUGUUGUUUUUGUCUAGUCAUGGCUACAAGAGGUUGUGUUAUUUCUCCAAACAGUUUUAGUUAUAUCUGUGAUGCAUAAACUAUUAAAAGUCAACAGAAAAACAUAAGUGAUUUUGUGAGAAAAGUUUGUUUUGUUUUCUUUAAAUUAAAACUUGGUGAUCAAUAUAAACCAUGGUGUGUAGAAGAUCUUCGUUUGUGGUUUAAGGGUAAGAAAAAUGCUUUUAGAUUUGGAAUUCCUGUGAUACUGCGUGAACAGAUUUAUCAUACCACUGAUUGUUACUUCUGUUCAGUUGACGUAAAGGGAUUCAAUUAAAAAAACAACAGAAGCAUAAGUGAGCCUAACUUUGACUCAGCUACGCUCCCAGUGCCCCGUAGCUCUGAAAUUCCUAUCGCACAGCCUCCUUCCAGUUGGGAUGAAUACCCGAGUGAGUUGGAGGACGAAGUUACGUUACUCCUUCAGGGUGAAUCAAGCUGAGGUUUUUCUUCAGACGAAGAUGAAAGGCCUCGACUAUUUUCUGAAAGUGAGCUCAGUGAUCUAGUAAGAGAUUUAGGUCUUUCAAAAUACGCAGCCGAACUGUUAGAAUCCAGAUUAAAACAUAAAAACCUUUUCUCAUCUGGCACCUCAUUUUCAUGGUACAGACACCGAGAAAAAGAAUUUACCCAGUUUUUCUCAAAAGAAGGAAAUUUAGUUUUUUGCAGUGAUGUGGAAGGACUUAUGCAUUGCUUUUGUAUGCAGUGUGACUCAUCUGAGUUGCGCCUAUUAAUUGAUUAAUCCAAAACCACUCUUAAAGUACUGUUAUUGGACGAUGGAAAUAAAUUUUCAUCGCUUCCGAUGGGACAUUCCGUGCAUAUGGACGAAAACUAUAACGAUUUGGCCAUUAUCCUGGAAAAAAUCAAUUAUCAGGACUAUCAAUGGAUGGUUUGUAGGGACUUCAAAAUACUCACCAUGCUUUUGGGUCAGCAGGCAGGCUAUACUAAAUACCCAUGCUUCUUAUGCUUGUGGGAUAGUAGAGCCAGAGAACAGCACUGGACUGAAAAUGAUUGGCAACCACCAGAAACUUUAAAACUUGGAGAGAAAAAUGUUAUCAAUACUACUUUGGUACCACCAGACAAGGUUUUGUUGGACCCUGUCUAUAUCAAAUUGGGGUUGAUGAAACAAUUUGUAAAAUCACUGCAAAAGGAUGGGGACUGUUUGAAAUAUCUAUGUACAAAAUUAUCGAAGCUGACAGAAGCAAAGUGGAAAGAGGGAGUUUUCACUGGCCCCAACAUAAGAAAAAUUUUAACCCUCUUUGUGGAAAGCAUGAAUGAGGAGGAGAAAGAAGUUUGGGUAUCGUUCAAGGAUGUAGUGCGAAAGUUUUUGGGAAAUACUAAGGGUCCUGACUACAAAACCAUUCGUCGACGGAUGCUAGCAGCAUAUUCAGCUAAAGGCUGCAAGAUGAGCUUGAAAGUCCAUUUUUGACAUUCCCACAUAGAUAUUUUUCCUGAAAACCUGGGAGCUUACAGUGAAGAACAGGGGGAGUGGUUUCACCAGGAUGUCCGUGAUAUCGAGAGACGGUACCAGGGAAGAUGGGAUGUCACUACGCUUGCUGACUACUGUUGUGUGCUUAAGCGGGAAACUAAAGACGGAAAUCGGAAAAGGACUCAGGGAAGUAUCAAGGAAAAGAAGAAAAGGUUUCAUAAAAAACAUGAAUAAGUAUAAUAUUGUUACUAUAUGUCUCAAAAUAAUGUUUCAUUGGUUGUAAAAAAACUAUUAUGUUUGAUAAUUUUGAAUA
Molecule: long non-coding RNA, 2217 nt
Organism: Schistocerca gregaria
Lineage: Eukaryota; Metazoa; Arthropoda; Insecta; Orthoptera; Acrididae
Exons: 3
Source: RefSeq, a predicted model, not a curated record